RNAcentral lists this ribosomal RNA (429 nucleotides) under Triticum aestivum (bread wheat). RNAcentral describes it as "partial small subunit ribosomal RNA". The record is from RNAcentral. Lineage: Eukaryota; Viridiplantae; Streptophyta; Magnoliopsida; Poales; Poaceae.
AUGGACUUCGCAUAUUCUUAUGGUGUCAAAACCACGGCUACUGGUGGCUACGGAUGGGAAAUUCAGUGUCAUGAAGCAUUGAAGCGUAUGACGUUUUUGUGCGUUUUGUCCGAACUUCUUCGGUGUUUUUGGGGGGAUAUGAACUUCUUCAGUGUUGAGCUGGAACUUUGCAUAUACAUGUGGUCUGUUCUAUGUUUCAUCAAGGCUGUUGAAAACUUGAAAUGCAAUAAAUUGUCUCAGCUCUGCAAAUUGGAGAGCUCAACCUUGUACAUGGGCACCUGGUGUCCCAAGUCUGAGAGAAACCACAUGAUAGCUGCGUAUUUGUUUCCUAUGAAUCUGGCUGGAGCACUGUCUUUUAUUUAUAAAGAUUGUCUGGGCUGCCUCCCCAGUAUAUGUUUAAAUUUUUCUGAUCAAUCUAUGUUCUACUAG